Molecule: long non-coding RNA, 1319 nt
Organism: Amphiprion ocellaris (clown anemonefish)
Lineage: Eukaryota; Metazoa; Chordata; Actinopteri; Pomacentridae
Exons: 3
Source: RefSeq, a predicted model, not a curated record
UCCCGCUGUCUGCAAGCCAUUAGGUGGCGCUAUGCCCCAGAGUCUUGAGCGUUCGCAACAUUGUGGGGCUGGGUGUGGACACGAUGGAGUCCUGAUCGCACACAAUCUAUCCAAAACGCGACGCUGCUCAGCGGGAGGACUAAGUGGCCUUUGUGGACCUCCUGAAACAGAAGCUACAUCUUGACGGGGAUCAGAGAAUCUCUCUUUGUGAAGCUCUGCAGCAGCCGUUCACCACAAUGUGUCACCUGACCGAGCUCUCUGACAGCAAAGACUACCUGAACACCUCCCAGAAUAAGAUGAGUGUCUGUCAGCAGAUCAGGUGAACACUCCUGGAACAUCUGAACCUGAUCAGGAGUCAGGCGCUGGGUUUUGUGAUGACAUUCCAGCUACCAGGUCAUCUGAUCAAGUCAAACCAUCUGACUUCAAUAAAGACUGCUCUACAGGCGAGUCUGACAGAGUUUCCUGGAACUCUGUUACAUCCGUCUCCUCAAUGUUCAUUUCCAGCUUCAAUGAUGAAGAUUCAUCUUCCAAGUCUUCUGAUGGAGCAACAGAAACAGACUCCACAUUCUCUGCUUCCUCUGCAGCUCCUCUUCAGCAGCUUCAACAAAGCUGCUGAAGAGGAUCCAGAGAUUCUUCAGUGGCCUCAGAGCAACUCUUUGCUGCUGCUGGCAUCCCUCUGUAGAGGACUGAUAUUAUUCUUUUAUUUUAUUGAUAUUACUUUGAUAAUUUUUGCUUGGUUACGUUAGUUAAGUUAGUUUUACUUAAUGAUUAGGCCUUAUUUUGUGGUUCCAUUAGUUUUACUUUGUUACAUUAGUUGUUAAGUUAGUUUUACUUCAUGGCUUUACUUUGUUAUUUUACUUGUCACAUUAGUUUUACUCUGUGACAUUAGUUGCUAAGUUAGUUUUACUUUAUGGUUUUACUUCAUUUUGUUUUACAUUUAUUUUAUUUUGUUAUUUUACUUGUUACAUUGUUUUUGCUUCAUUAGUUUUACUGUGCUACAUUUUGCAAACUCAUUGCAAUCUCAUUGCUUCUUUAUGAGUUUUCCUUCAUUACAUGUUGCAAACAAACUGUUUGCCUUGUUAGAUGUAAUUUCAUGCAUGUUGCAAAUAUAAUGUUUGCUUCAUUAAACUGUAGAACAAUACCUCAGAAUACCUGCAUUACUGCUGCAAGUCAACAGGAAAAUACAGGCCUGUUGUUUAGAGCAGUGAUUCCCAACCAGAGGAAACUGCUUCAGUAGUCAGGAGAAACAUGGAAAGAUUCACUGUACUGAUUUAAAAAAAUUGAAAUUACAGUUUAAUAAAAGAACUGAGUGAAUCAAU